Molecule: microRNA precursor, 110 nt
Filed under: Paramuricea clavata
Lineage: Eukaryota; Metazoa; Cnidaria; Anthozoa; Malacalcyonacea; Plexauridae
Source: RNAcentral
AGUAAGUGAUAUUUCGGAACUGAAUCUAGCUCCUUUGAUACCAAUGUAUUCUAGUAAUAUGAAUUUUUUCUGUGUUGGUGUAGAUUCAGUUCCGAAAUAUCACUUACUCG